CCUACGGGAGGCAGCAGUGGGGAAUAUUGCACAAUGGGGGAAACCCUGAUGCAGCGACGCCGCGUGAGCGAUGAAGUAUUUCGGUAUGUAAAGCUCUAUCAGCAGGGAAGAAAAUGACGGUACCUGACUAAGAAGCCCCGGCUAACUACGGGCCAGCAGCCGCGGUAAUACGUAAGGGGCAAGCGUUAUCCGGAUUUACUGGGUGUAAAGGGAGCGUAGACGGUCCUGCAAGACAGAUGUGAAAGUCCGGGGCUCAACCCCGGGACUGCAUUUGGAACUGUAAGGCUUGAGUGUCGGAGAGGCAUGCGGAAUUCCUAGUGUAGCGGUGAAAUGCGUAGAUAUUACGAGGAACACCAGUGGCGAAGGCGGCCUGCUGGACGAUGACUGACGUUGAGGCUCGAAAGCGUGGGGAGCGAACAGGAUUAGAUACCCCAGUAGUC
This 440-nucleotide ribosomal RNA is filed under the name uncultured bacterium. Its description in RNAcentral is "partial 16S ribosomal RNA". It matches the Rfam family "Bacterial small subunit ribosomal RNA", at positions 338 to 795 of the family's 1533-position model. The record is from RNAcentral.